Molecule: transfer RNA, 65 nt
Filed under: Dipodomys ordii (Ord's kangaroo rat)
Lineage: Eukaryota; Metazoa; Chordata; Mammalia; Rodentia; Heteromyidae
Rfam family: tRNA
About the family: Transfer RNA (tRNA) molecules are approximately 80 nucleotides in length. Their secondary structure includes four short double-helical elements and three loops (D, anti-codon, and T loops).
Source: Rfam by way of RNAcentral
GGUGGCUCAAUGGUAGAGCGCUUGCCUUGUAUGCCUGAGACCCUGGGUUCGAUUCCUCAGCACCA